This 336-nucleotide unclassified non-coding RNA is filed under the name soil metagenome. Its description in RNAcentral is "partial contains 5.8S ribosomal RNA, internal transcribed spacer 2, and large subunit ribosomal RNA". The stretch from base 1 to 120 matches the Rfam family "5.8S ribosomal RNA", at positions 35 to 154 of the family's 154-position model. The record is from RNAcentral.
GAUGAAGAACGCAGCGAAAUGCGAUAAGUAAUGUGAAUUGCAGAAUUCAGUGAAUCAUCGAAUCUUUGAACGCACAUUGCGCCCGCCAGUAUUCUGGCGGGCAUGCCUGUUCGAGCGUCAUUUCAACCAUCAAGCCCCCGGCUUGUGUUGGGGACCUGCGGCUGCCGCAGGCCCUGAAAAGCAGUGGCGGGCUCGCUGUCACAGCGAGCGUAGUAGCAUACAUCUCGCUCUGGGCGUGCUGCGGGUUCCGGCCGUUAAACCACCUUCAUAACCCAAGGUUGACCUCGGAUCAGGUAGGAAGACCCGCUGAACUUAAGCAUAUCAAUAAGCGGAGGA